RNAcentral lists this ribosomal RNA (492 nucleotides) under uncultured bacterium. RNAcentral's name for it is "partial 16S ribosomal RNA". It matches the Rfam family "Bacterial small subunit ribosomal RNA", at positions 29 to 507 of the family's 1533-position model. The record is from RNAcentral.
AGUGAACGCUGGCGGUAGGCCUAACACAUGCAAGUCGAACGGCAGCACAGUAAGAGCUUGCUCUUACGGGUGGCGAGUGGCGGACGGGUGAGGAAUACAUCGGAAUCUACUUUUUCGUGGGGGAUAACGUAGGGAAACUUACGCUAAUACCGCAUACGACCUACGGGUGAAAGCAGGGGAUCUUCGGACCUUGCGCGAUUGAAUGAGCCGAUGUCGGCUUAGCUAGUUGGCGGGGUAAAGGCCCACCAAGGCGACGAUCCGUAGCUGGUCUGAGAGGAUGAUCAGCCACACUGGAACUGAGACACGGUCCAGACUCCUACGGGAGGAAGCAGUGGGGAAUAUUGGACAAUGGGCGCAAGCCUGAUCCAGCAAUACCGCGUGGGUGAAGAAGGCCUUCGGGUUGUAAAGCCCUUUUGUUGGGAAAGAAAAGCAGCAGGUUAAUACCCCGCUGUUCUGACGGUACCCAAAGAAUAAGCACCGGCUAACUUCGUG